RNAcentral lists this ribosomal RNA (497 nucleotides) under uncultured bacterium. RNAcentral's name for it is "partial 16S ribosomal RNA". It matches the Rfam family "Bacterial small subunit ribosomal RNA", at positions 28 to 507 of the family's 1533-position model. The record is from RNAcentral.
GAUGAACGCUGGCGGCGUGCCUAAUACAUGCAAGUCGAGCGAACGGACGAGAAGCUUGCUUCUCUGACGUUAGCGGCGGACGGGUGAGUAACACGUGGAUAACCUACCUAUAAGACUGGGAUAACUUCGGGAAACCGGAGCUAAUACCGGAUAAUAUUUUGAACCGCAUGGUUCAAAAGUGAAAGACGGUCUUGCUGUCACUUAUAGAUGGAUCCGCGCUGCAUUAGCUAGUUGGUAAGGUAACGGCUUACCAAGGCAACGAUGCAUAGCCGACCUGAGAGGGUGACCGGCCACACUGGAACUGAGACACGGUCCAGACUCCUACGGGAGGCAGCAGUAGGGAAUCUUCCGCAAUGGGCGAAAGCCUGACGGAGCAACGCCGCGUGAGUGAUGAAGGUCUUCGGAUCGUAAAACUCUGUUAUUAGGGAAGAACAUAUGUGUAAGUAACUGUGCACAUCUUGACGGUACCUAAUCAGAAAGCCACGGCUAACUACGUG